Molecule: transfer RNA, 74 nt
Filed under: Sphaerodactylus townsendi
Lineage: Eukaryota; Metazoa; Chordata; Lepidosauria; Squamata; Sphaerodactylidae
Description: tRNA-Val
Source: RNAcentral
AGAGGGGCGUGAUUCAGUGGUAGAGCAUCUGCUUGACAUGCAUGAAGUCCCAUGUUCAAUCCCUGGCCUCUCCA